Molecule: long non-coding RNA, 1393 nt
Filed under: Sus scrofa (pig)
Lineage: Eukaryota; Metazoa; Chordata; Mammalia; Artiodactyla; Suidae
Description: lncRNA (ENSSSCG00040069744.1)
Source: RNAcentral
UUUUUUUUUUAAGGGCUGCACCCACAGCAUGUGGAAGUUCCCAGGCUAGGAGUUAAAUUGGAGCUGCAGCUCCCAGCCUACACCACAGCCAUAGCAAUACCAGAUCUGAGCCGCAUCUGUGCUACACCACAGCUCACAGCCAUGCCAGAUCCAACCCACUGAGCAGGGCUAGGGAUCGAACCCGAGUCCUCAUGGAUACUAGUGGCAUUUGUAACCCACUGGGCCACAAAGAGAACUCCCAACUGCUGAUGACUCAGGCAAGAAUAAAACCCUCCUUGACCAGAAAGAUGUAGGAUCUUGAGGUCAUUGAGAAAAUGUGUCAUAGCCACAUUGCAGAAAUUAAAGGCCAAACUGCCAAUAACCAACAUGCCUAAUAUGUGAUUUCUACACUGGGGUUUUCUCAAGUACAGUCAAGUACAUUUACAUUCUGGCUUUCCCUCUCAUCAUAGUACUUGUGGUCAUUUCUCUAAGUACUCUCAGGGAAGUCGCAUCAGCCCUGGCCAAUAACGUUGUAAUGAGCCUUCUCAAGCCUGUUCUCAACACUAGCACACCCACAACAAUAUGGGGACAUCCAGAAAUGAACGCUGUCUUUUGAUAUAAGCCAACUCCACUCCCCAGGACCCCACUCCAGGCAAAGAGGAAAGGGGAGGAGCCGGAUGCUCUAAAGCCCCUGUCUUUCCCUUGCUUUAGGUCUGCAGAUCCUUCUCCUGUUCUGUCCUGAUGCUUCUCAGGGCAUGUAAGGUCCUCCUUGCUGCCUUGUAAGUAGGAUAGUAAUGCUUGUGCCUUGGAAACCUCCUCCAUCUGCAGCCUAUAUGCCUCCAUCCUUCAUGUGCCAAACAGGCCCCAGAUAUCUCCCCACUACCAGCUCCUCGGGCAUCAAGAGCCUGAAAACAUCCUAUUGAAAUCUUCUGAGUAUCUGUAUUGGGAAUGCAGUGGCAGCUCCUGGAGGAUUUGCGGAAUUACCUUUUUUUUAAAAAAAAACUGGUUGGUAGAGUUCAUGUUGUGCCUCAGUGGGUUAAGGACCUAACGUAAUCUCCUUGAGGAUGCCGGUUUGAUCCUUGGCUUUGCUCAGUGGGUUAAGGAUGGUUAAGGAUCCAUCAUUGCAGCAAGGUGCAGAAUAAGGCACAGAUUAUGGCUCACAUCCAGUUUUGCCUUGGCUGUGGCUGUGGUGUGGGCCAGCAGCUGCAUCUCCAAUUCUACCCCUAACCUGAGAACUUCCCUAUGCUAUGAAUGUGGCCGUAAAAAGAAAAGAAAAAAAAUGGUUAGGGAGUUCCCUGGUGGUCUAGCGGUUAGCGAUCUGGCAUUGUCACUGUUGUGGCUUGGGUUCAAUCCUUGGCCCGGGAACCUCUGUAGGCUGUGAGCGUGGCUGGAAAAAAAACAGUUGGUUUCUGAU